UUCCGAAUCAUUUGGCACAAUCAAUUGUUACAAUCCUUUCUCAAGUUAGAUUCACUAUAUCGUACACAGUGUCACCAUGAAAUUCAUUUCCAUCCAUUUUAUUCUUAUCCUGAUGGCCAUUCUAAUUUGCCCAUCUCUGUGUAAAGUACGCCAAGCUUGCACCCGUGACGAUCAGUGUUACGAUCCUCCGAACGUGUGUUUAAAAACUACUGGCGAAUGUUUGGCUUUAUUCGAUGAUUGAGCAAAAGGAUAGUCUCAAAGUUCGAUCAUCCUGAAUUAUCGAUUUUGAUUAAGGUCUAUGUUAUAAGAAACUAAAAUGAUUAUGCUAUUAUAUCUUUGGAUCUAUUAAUAAUAUGAAUAAAGAAAAGCUUAUACUCUAAA
Long non-coding RNA from Tetranychus urticae (two-spotted spider mite), 381 nucleotides. RefSeq lists it as uncharacterized. The record is from RefSeq and is a predicted model, not a curated record. NCBI's taxonomy places the organism in Eukaryota, Metazoa, Arthropoda, Arachnida, Trombidiformes, Tetranychidae.